AUUGACCGCUGGCGGCAGGCUUAACACAUGCAAGUCGCACGAGUGGCGGACGGGUGAGUAAUGCUUGGGAAUCUAGCUUAUGGAGGGGGAUAACUACGGGAAACUGUAGCUACUACCGCGUACCACAGGAUGAGACCACUUGGGAUUAGGUAGUUGGUGAGGUAAAGGCUCACCAAGCCGACGACCUCUAGCUGGUCUGAGAGGAUGACCAGCCACACUGGGACGGAGACACGGCCCAGACUCCUACGGGAGGCAGCAGUGGGGAAUAUUGCGCAAUGGGGGCAACCUGACGCAGCCAUGCCGCGUGAAUGAAGAAGGCCUUCGGGUUGUAAAGUUCUUUCGGUAGCGAGGCGUUACCUACAGAAGAAGCACCGGCUAACUCCGUGCCAGCAGCCGCGGUAAUAC
Molecule: ribosomal RNA, 405 nt
Filed under: uncultured bacterium
Lineage: Bacteria
Description: partial 16S ribosomal RNA
Rfam family: Bacterial small subunit ribosomal RNA
Source: RNAcentral